CUUUUCUACUUUCACAAAUUAUUCUUGUUUGCUAGAUACUGAGCUCAUUUUCUUCAUUUCCAAAGGAGUUUAAGAGCUGUUAACAUCUAAAUGUUAUUACCCUGGGACAGAACCCUUUUCUACUUGUCAUAGUUAUGGGUCUGAAAAUUUGUCCUACAAUAAAGGAAGAAUAAAGCAAAUUGUGGUCCGUUAACACCAUGGAAUACUGCAACAGCUCCAGUUCUAUGAUCUUGACUGAGGAAUCUACAUGUCUACAAGGGAAACAGUGGAAACAGGACAUACACUUACUUUUGGAGGCCACAUUUUAGGAAGGACAUGGAUAAGUCAGAGAGUAUAUAAAGGACAUCAAUCAUGA
Monodelphis domestica (gray short-tailed opossum) is the source of this 355-nucleotide long non-coding RNA. RefSeq lists it as uncharacterized. The record is from RefSeq and is a predicted model, not a curated record. NCBI's taxonomy places the organism in Eukaryota, Metazoa, Chordata, Mammalia, Didelphimorphia, Didelphidae.